CAGUAACAGUAAUUGGAUGACUAUGGUUCCUGCAAGCGCGCGAGGUACAGCACCCUCUGUUGACUCCUCUCACGGCGCUUCAGCCCCCUUCCUUCAAUGCCAUAGCUUCUUUCCCUCUCCAUCCCUGUCACUGGCCCGCAGUACAUCUCAACCCUUGCAGCCCUCCCAUAUCUAGCCAUAUCUCUCCCUCAACUGACUCCCUCCCCCAUCGACAAAUCCAGCUUCUGGGCUUCCUCUUCUUUUUCCUCCUCGUCCUCUUACUCUAUCGCUUCUUCUUAUUUACUUAUGUAUUCAAUUUCUGUUUCUUUUUUGCGUCAGCGUCUGCCCGCAGCUUUGAUGACGCACCAGUGGGGAGAAAUUCGGUUGUUCUGGUAACGCCUGGGAAAAUCUGGACCCAGGUGAAGCAGGAAGCGCAAAGCCUGACGAGCAAUGGCUUUAGAGCUCUGACGACCAGCCUUGCUUUGCUUUUUUUCCACUUGGGGUGGUAGAGACGAAGACGAAGACGGGGAAAAGACGAACAAUACGGAGAAUCUGUUGCUGGUGCAGCAGUUGUUGCAACUCUGACUAGCAGCUUUUCACAGAGAUGGCAUGCACAGGAAGAGUUCCUCCCUCGCUCUCCAUCUCAGGGAGUGCCCAUGAACACCGAAACCCAUCACCAUCUUCUUCGCCUUCGCCCUCCCAUUCCUACCUUCGUUGAUGAUGGCCUUCGCCGCCGCUACUGCAGCCAUGGAACCUGGUCUCACAUCCAACACCAACACCAUCACCAUCACCACGCAACUCUGUCUCCUGCUCUGAGGAGUUCAGCCACCCGGGACUAGCGCUCUGAUCUUGUGCCAUGCUAUCUCUUCGUCUUGUGCUUCUUCUUCGUCCUCCUCUGGGGACGUGAGACACAGGGAACUGGACUUCCGAUCUUAUGCCAUGCUUUCUCGUCGUCUUCUGCCUGGUGUUGGCUCCUGUCUGAAACUACUCCUCUGGGUUGAUUUCUAUUUCUCUCGUUUUUAUUUUAAUGAAUGAUUGAGUUUUUUUAUUUAUUUAUUUUCAUUUUAAAAUUGGAACAAGUUGAUGAAUUUGUUUGAACUUUUAUUGACAUUUAGAAGUCAAAAAUGCAAUUCUUCAAGUCACAAAGUGAAACUCUAUUUGCAAAACUGAAUGAAUGAAUAUGAAAAUGAGGGUGAUAGUGAUAUCGAGAAGGUUAUAUUUGUGGAUUCUUUUAUUUAUAUAUUUAUUUUUAUGGAGAAUGAUGGUUGUAAGAUUUUUAGGAUUCUAUGUUGAUUUUUUGUUGAAGAGAUAAACUUUUAGGCUGUAGAGCUAUGGUUUUCUAUUGGAAAAAUGGUGUUCAUAAUUAAAGGUCAUAAUUAAAGGUAAUUUAGCACAGCUAUUCUGUUCUAGUGAAAACUAUUUGUUUUAAUGGAUUGCUAGUGAAUAUAUAAGAAUGCA
Molecule: long non-coding RNA, 1437 nt
Filed under: Physcomitrium patens
Lineage: Eukaryota; Viridiplantae; Streptophyta; Bryopsida; Funariales; Funariaceae
Description: long non-coding RNA (PPAT_LNC009140)
Source: RNAcentral